This 496-nucleotide ribosomal RNA is filed under the name uncultured bacterium. RNAcentral's name for it is "partial 16S ribosomal RNA". It matches the Rfam family "Bacterial small subunit ribosomal RNA", at positions 28 to 507 of the family's 1533-position model. The record is from RNAcentral.
GAUGAACGCUGGCGGCGUGCCUAAUACAUGCAAGUCGAGCGAACAGACGAGGAGCUUGCUCCUCUGACGUUAGCGGCGGACGGGUGAGUAACACGUGGAUAACCUACCUAUAAGACUGGGAUAACUUCGGGAAACCGGAGCUAAUACCGGAUAAUAUAUUGAACCGCAUGGUACAAUAGUGAAAGACGGUUUUGCUGUCACUUAUAGAUGGAUCCGCGCCGCAUUAGCUAGUUGGUAAGGUAACGGCUUACCAAGGCACGAUGCGUAGCCGACCUGAGAGGGUGAUCGGCCACACUGGAACUGAGACACGGUCCAGACUCCUACGGGAGGCAGCAGUAGGGAAUCUUCCGCAAUGGGCGAAAGCCUGACGGAGCAACGCCGCGUGAGUGAUGAAGGUCUUCGGAUCGUAAAACUCUGUUAUUAGGGAAGAACAAAUGUGUAAGUAACUAUGCACGUCUUGACGGUACCUAAUCAGAAAGCCACGGCUAACUACGUG